Molecule: ribosomal RNA, 550 nt
Filed under: Clonostachys rosea
Lineage: Eukaryota; Fungi; Ascomycota; Sordariomycetes; Hypocreales; Bionectriaceae
Description: eukaryotic LSU rRNA
Rfam family: 5.8S ribosomal RNA (bases 180-333)
Source: RNAcentral
UUUGUGACGCGGAGGGACAUUACCGAGUUUACAACUCCCAAACCCAUGUGAACAUACCUACUGUUGCUUCGGCGGGAUUGCCCCGGGCGCCUCGUGUGCCCCGGAUCAGGCGCCCGCCUAGGAAACUCAACUCUUGUUUUAUUUUGGAAUCUUCUGAGUAAUUUUUACAAAUAAAUAAAAACUUUCAACAACGGAUCUCUUGGUUCUGGCAUCGAUGAAGAACGCAGCGAAAUGCGAUAAGUAAUGUGAAUUGCAGAAUUCAGUGAAUCAUCGAAUCUUUGAACGCACAUUGCGCCCGCCAGUAUUCUGGCGGGCAUGCCUGUCUGAGCGUCAUUUCAACCCUCAUGCCCCUAGGGCGUGGUGUUGGGGAUCGGCCAAAGCCCGCGAGGGACGGCCGGCCCCUAAAUCUAGUGGCGGACCCGUCGUGGCCUCCCCUGCGAAGUAGUGAUAUUCCGCAUCGGAGAGCGACGAGCCCCUGCCGUUAAACCCCCAAUUUCCAAGGUUGACCUCAGAUCAGGUAGGAAUACCCGCUGAACUUAAGCAUAUCUAA